UUAGAGGAAGUAAAAGUCGUAACAAGGUUUCCGUAGGUGAACCUGCGGAAGGAUCAUUAUCGUAUACAUGAGGCGUCAGGGCUGUCGCUGACUUUAACGAGUCGUGCACGCCUGAAGCGCUCUCUCACAUCCAUCUCACCCUUGUGCACCAUCGCGUGGGUUCCCUUUCGAGGGGGCUCGCGUCUUUUACACACACCCUUUAGUUUGUUUAGAAUGUCUUUUCUUGCAAUGUCUCGCAAUCAAUACAACUUUCAACAACGGAUCUCUUGGCUCUCGCAUCGAUGAAGAACGCAGCGAAAUGCGAUACGUAAUGUGAAUUGCAGAAUUCAGUGAAUCAUCGAAUCUUUGAACGCAUCUAGCGCCCCUUGGCAUUCCGAGGGGCACACCCGUUUGAGUGUCGUGAAACCCUCAAAAGCCCUUUUCUUGAGAAUGGCUUUUGGAUAUUGGGGGCUUUAUGCUGGCUUCUAGUCAGCUCCUCCUAAAUGAAUUCAUGGGGUCCGCUUUGCAGAUCCUGGACGUGAUAAGAUGUUUCUGCGUCCUAGGUCUUAGCUUUGCUUUGCCCCUGAACUGCCGAAAGGCAAAUUUGAACCCUUGACCUCAAAUCGGGUGAGACUACCCGCUGAACUUAAGCAUAUCAAUAAGCGGGAGGA
This 650-nucleotide ribosomal RNA is filed under the name Russula brunneorigida. RNAcentral describes it as "eukaryotic LSU rRNA". The stretch from base 247 to 400 matches the Rfam family "5.8S ribosomal RNA". The record is from RNAcentral. Lineage: Eukaryota; Fungi; Basidiomycota; Agaricomycetes; Russulales; Russulaceae.